RNAcentral lists this long non-coding RNA (3766 nucleotides) under Daphnia magna. Its description in RNAcentral is "uncharacterized LOC116926742, transcript variant X6". Lineage: Eukaryota; Metazoa; Arthropoda; Branchiopoda; Diplostraca; Daphniidae. The record is from RNAcentral.
CUUCCACAGCACGCUUCAGCCUCACUGUGCGAAGAAAACCAAAGAAAACCAUUGCACCACGAUGUACCAGGAGGUACAUCGUGAUUGCGCUUAGGUUAGUACGUCUUCGCACCACGUGUUAAGAAAUUUCCAAUUUGUUCCAUGUAUGUUUGGAUGGAAAAUAUCCAUUGAAAGAAUACCCCUAAAAAAUAAAAAUGGAUGUUAAACAACUUGGUAGUCUACCCUUGAUUCAUAAGCUUAGUAAUUGUGUUUCGAAACUCGACGUAAUUUUAUUUCAGGAAACAUUACAAUUGCUGCUUUGGGUAUGCCUUUAUUUCUCCGUGACAAUUUUUUUAGCACCACAAAUACUUUUGUUCAACGAGGUGUCUAGAAGAUGUUUAAGUCUUUGAUUGAAGUUGAUAAAUAUCUAAAAUUUCUUUUUUUAUAAUGUCAUUCUUGUGCUAGGGCUUGAUCUGUUCACAAACAUAAGGGUAUGUAAUGCAACCUGUGGCCAGAAAGGGUGAAACCAAAGUAUGCCUUGGAAUUGACAUAAGUCUGUUAGGAAGCAGUGCUACCUAAAAGUCUGAAUAUUGGUUUUCAGAUAUCUUGAUUAUUCCCCUGCCGGUAACUGAUUUUUAUACAUUCCAAUCCACUUUGCGUUUUUGGAUGCCAGAAAUCUGUGAGAGUUGUUGAACUCUUAUUGUCAAAUGCUCCUUUUAAUUGACGAGCCCAUUUGAUUGUGAUGAAACCCGAGGAAGGGUUAAAGACCGGCUUUUUCUUACCGCCAAAUGCCUAACCGAAAGAACCGAAGAUUUGAUCAGUCUGUCAGAUUCUGCUUUUAUCAAUUUUUAUGUGAUUUGCCUGGCGUCGAACCUCUAAUAGGAGAAUUUCAUUUUGGCCUAAACAAAAUGGAAGAUAUCCUGUACAAAAAGAUGAUUCUCUCAUUAGGAUGCGACCGUAUUCAAUUUAUCUUCUCUGCUGUCUGAAGCAGCUCUCAUCAGCCAAGCCUGUAAUGACUCCCAAUUCGAGUUGCUAGAACGAGAACGAUAAUCAUGUUGGCAAUUACCUGAAUCCCCUUUGACAAACAUAUUUUGUUAAAGGUGCUUUGGCAGGGUGUCUCAUUCGACGAAGAUAAGCAGGCAGCAGCUGGUAAAACCAGGAAUGUCUUUGUAUUGAAAACCCAGAAGAGAAAAGGACCGUUUGCUGGAACAGUUCAGAAUGGAUUUCGACUAACUGGAAUCGAUGGAGUGGUCAGCGUUGGUGGUCAUCUCUUCGAAAAAAUUAUCGUAGAAAAUGUAUGAAGCAAAUUGAUUGCGUUUGCCACCAAAGUUGAUACUGGGACGCCUGUCUAGUGGGUGGUUUCUUCGUCGUGUGAUUAUGAAGACAGGAUACUACCUAAUAGAGCAACUCUUAAUCGAUGAUCUGGAAGAACGUCUUCCGAUGCUUAACACACGGUUAUCGGUUAAAGGUAAUUAUAGUAUCUACCUCCUUCAACCACAUAAAUGUAUUAUUGCAGCAAACCAAUACGGUUAGUACAAAUUGGGGAUUGAAGCUGUAACAUCAUAGCUUCACCAAACCCUUAAAACUGAUGCGCGCUUCUGACAGCGGUAAUAGCACAUUAGUAAAUAGCAUUGUCAACUACGUCGUGAAUGUCCAAUGGAAUUAUUCGUUUCCGAAUCGAUCCCGGAAAGGUUAAUAAACAUGAGUAACGGCUUGUAACAUUCAUCCCGUUGACGUAGGGUCAUCCCGUUUUCUUUUACCGUUAUUGAUACUACCGGUUAGCGGCAACGUCGAAACAAACGCUGAAACGACUCGAAGCAUUGCAAAUCUUUUGUCUCGCGAAAAUUUUAUCAAGACAUAGGAGACUGUUGACGCAAUUUCACUCAGAUUUUUUGGCAAAUGUUGGAAUAUCUUACCCAAAAGAAUUUUGUUGAGAUUGUUUGCGCCUUCUUUAAUCCUAGCGAUUAGGUAACCACACGAAAAUUCAUUUGCCAGGAACAUCACGAAGUCGCCAAUCGUCCUGGAGACGAUACCAACUUCCAUUGCCAGUUUGACAACUUGGUGCUUUUCGCCUCCAAACGAGUACAGCAACGGGGCGAAGGCGAAGAGGAUUUACAUUCCUGAAGACACUAACUGGGACAGAAUAUAGGACAUCUCGCGCAAGAAAUUCUGGGAUCAAAGACCGAAAGUCAGCUCAGCAGGGAGAACUGUCUAGACAAGUUCAUCAGUAGGAAAUAAAUGAAAUCUUAUCGUAGUAAUCUGUGCUAAACUAUCGAAUACGUGAAAACAUUGUCUUUGUUUAGUACUUUUAAAUUUUGCUAAAUUCAAUUGUUGUAAUAUGGUUCUUAUUUUUAAUGGUUUCAACCAUUAGACGCAGACAAAUGCAAACAUAGUUUCCAUUGACGUUUUUAUUCUCUCAGUUUGAGUAUUCUUUUGUAAUCCAGGGUUUGCUAUUCGAAAAGUAUCGGUUAUGUGCUUUUCAGCGAAUAACAUAACGAAGAAUUUGUUGAAACGAACGAUUCAAAAAUAUUUUCGUAUACAAUAUCAUAUAUCUUCUUAUUCAUUUUCGGAGACAUUGGGACUGGGAGGUGAGUUAUAGUGACGACAAUUAUAGUCAACGAUCCAAUUUCUACGGCAUCUGUCAACGAUGUAAUUUCACCAACAAAAAGGACAAACGCCAUAACAACUCAGGAUGAUUCAUUUGGAAUAGUCACAACGUUUCAGAUCUAGCACAUCAGAUUCCACGAUCAAACCAAAAGUUAGAAUCAAAUACAUUAUAUAAACGUUUUCAUUCGAGCAAUGAACUAAAUUUUCAGAUUCUCUUUUAUAACCACACACGAACCAUUUGUUUCUUAGAAGGCGGACCAGCUCGCUAUGAAUUCGGCCCUGAGUUUGUCAUGUAGAAAAUGAGAUGCAUAACUUAAUGAGAGAAAACAAAGAAACAUCUGAGAAUGUGCAACUUUUUGUUUCUCUACAGAAACCUGAGAAAACCACCAAAUAAUAAACAAAUGGAACUAAUUCAACUCAAAAAAGAAGAAGAAAAAAAAAAUUAGGCAUCGUGUUCUCAGUCAAUAUCAUCACCCGAUGUUCUUGCUUUCUGCUGUUCUUUGUAUUCUUGGUAGUCUUGAAUGUAAUCGGGAUGCUUACGCCUGAUAUGUUUCUGAAUAUACCGGCGCUGUGAAAGCAUGUGAGAGCAGAUAGGACAAGGAAAUGAGGGAACAACACCGCAUUCGUAACGAAGGUGGGCCACUUCAAAUCCAACGUCGACCACAUCGCGGACAGGAAAAAGGUCGGUCACCGCCAUCGGGAUCUUCUAUUAUGACAGAGCUACACUAAUAUUUGACGCUUUUCACAUUGAGAGGAGUCCGACAUGGUGAGAUCAUAGUUAGUCUCAGAGGCUCCAGCGCCAUUCUCUGAAGCCCAAGUUUCGUUACCGGUUUCUAAUCAUUACAUUGUAAAGAUUAAUAAAUAAAUGCAUAUAUAUUAAAAAAGAUAAAAACAUAUAUCCAUGAAGAAGAAAAUUCCAUCCCACCCUGAGCUGAAGCUAUUGCUCCGUAAGAACCAGAAGCGGAAAUUCCACUGAGACUAUGCUGAGAAUUCCCGGCACUCCAACAUUCAUCAUCUUCUUCCUACAAAAUUACAAUCAAAUAUUCCUGAUCCGAAUGUCUUUCUUGGUCAUCUUCAAGUUGCUCACCAACAGUGGGAUCCGUCUCCAUUUCACAGUCUCCGAGAUCAGGCGUUUCGUCUGAUUCGACAGGUUGUUGCGACUGCUUUCGUUCCGCCAAAG